UCGUCUUGAUAAUCUUUUAUGACACCUAUAAUUGAGUGGUUUGGAGUACAAGGCGCAUAAGUGCAGUAUUUGCUAUUCAAGAAAAACGUGUUUGAAGUUUCGAAAUUACGUGGAUCCUUGUGGCGGAAAGAAAGUUCAAACUGACUUAAAAAUCGGAAUUCGGGAGCGAAUUUUUCACAGAAAAUGUAUUAAGACUAGGUUUACCUGAAAUCAUUAAUAUCUCAAUUUUUUAAAAAAAACUGCACUUAUGCUCCUUGUCCUCCAAGCUCCUUAAUUGGCCUUCCUUCAAUGAGAAGAGUAAACAUAGAAAUUUUCAGAUGUAUAUUUCCUUGCUUCUGCAGAACUCCUGGAACCCUGUCAUAUCCAGCUCCAUCUUGUACCAUCCAGUCGUCAACAUUGUUUUGUCUCGGUAGUGCAGUAAAUGCAUCCUUCACAAUUUCUGCGAACAAAUCAAUCGCAAGGUCCUUGAGGUGAAUGAAACACUCAUGAAUAUGGAGCGCUUCUCGGAGUGAAACUUUCAGAAAUCGCGAGAGGGGUUUUGUAUUUUUCUCUGAAAUUAUUUAUAAACGUUCAGUUUCCUCAUCCCACUCCGCUAGACCAUGAUGAGUUGUUUUCUGGAACUUUGAGUUUUUCUGUCGAGAAGCCCUUCGUAUCGAUUUGUUUUUCAAUUGAGGGGAGAUUUAAUUAUAGCUGGGCAGUUCUCGCUAACAUUUAUAAAUAUGCAGGAGUCAAAGGGUCACUUUUUAGUAUUGCUUCAUUCCCUGAGCGGGCACCAUGCUCUGUCUAUCUUACUUCUUCUUACCCAGCUGCAUACUAUCAGCGGCUGUCAUCAUAAAUGCAACUCGCAGUCACAUACCCGAGAGUUUGACCGAUGUUGAGGAAGAGGCUUCGCGCGAGAAGACAGAGGACACAAAUACUCUGGAAUCCUUAUCAGCAGCCCUUGGUAAUUCAAUUGAAGUAUCCUCUGACAUACCGUGCCACAUGGACGUCCAAGUGACAAAACGAGUGACCGGGCAUUGUGUGAGUCUGGGCCACGCUACUAGGGGCUGCAUCGCGGGAUCCUACUUGCACCCUUUCCACCACGAAUGUCUCGGAAAAUAAGCAUCCACCCCCAAAAUCACACCCCGUUCCCGAAAAUAACCUCGUGACCUUAUUCAUCUUUCCGACAUAAUUAUCCUUUUUCUACUCCAUGUUAAUGAAUUUUGUUCCCUGUUUACGUUGCUAAGCUAUCAAUAAAAUUUUUUGUUUUACACUUUUCUUAAUUCCUUGGUUUUCUUCUUUAUCUCGCUCAAGCCAUGUGAUAAUAUGCUACUUUUGAGUAUGUCUCGGGACUAGUACCUGUUGCAGUCCUAAUCUGCCGUGCUGAGGAAAAACGCCGUAUUAACCUUCAGGUGUUGCCUAAUUUCUACUAGUAAAUCACGAAUUUUCGGUAAAAUUUGUAAACAUUGUUCUUCCAGUUUUUCAGAUACUUUUGUUCGCAAUUACACCUGAAGUUCCUGAAAAUUUGAAGGAAAAAUAUUCAUAGCUUUACUCAAAAAUAAACAUUUUAUCGAAGGAGAUUUGGCAACUCUCGAAUGUUCAUACGCCGUUUUUCCUUAGCACGGCAGUGAUACGCAACUCACUUUUUCCCAGGAAGAGUAACAUAAUAAAAAAAAAACGGUAUUUAUGAGCAAGGCAAGUAUUCAUACAAAAUUGAAGCAGAUUAUCAGAUAUGUGUAUAGGCUGUUCAAAUAGUAGUGAGACAAAUGCUAUAACUUCAAAAGUAAGCUGGUAGAGGCUUAUUCUUAGUCUUACUAUAAAAACAGGCUUAAUAGCUUUCUUAUGAGACCAAGAUCAACUCAUUUAGUUAAAAAUUAAGAAAAUUAUGGAGGUUUAAAUAGCGAGUGUCGCAUUUCCGCAUACGAUUUUUAACGAAGAUUUUCACUCACUGGGAUUGAUCUCUCAAACUAUUGCGCGAUAAGAUGUUAUGCCAGAAACAGCUUGGCAACCCUACGAGCUACUAGAUGACAUUUUAUCGUAGUCGUCAUCCGACUAGGAGACCCAAAAAUCCCAAAGGCAACUAGCCCGGUUGUCAGAAUGCACACCCAAAAAUCGGGAAAAUCUGACCAGUGCGAAAAAACGCCUUUAUGGGCGCGGGUACAUCGCGGUUACCGAGUGGUUUUGCUCCGUUCUGUGCUAAUUUUUUAAUUAAUUACAAAAUCAUGUUCUUGUACCAAAUCAUUGUCUUCUUACACGUAAUGUGGAAGACAACAGAACGAUGAUUAAUCUUUGUGUUUCGGCUGCGACGGAUGAUUGCAGGUGAUCUAAAAUUAUUUCGCCUUCAAUAUAACAAUGUGGGCAACCCAAGUUCCUUCAUGUUAAAAUUGUGGUAUCGCUCUGCUUUAUGUUGUAGCUGUGAAUACCUAUCACACACGCUUCAGAGUUUGUUUUUGUUCUUUACGCACAUUGCCACACAAUAUUAAUGUUAAUGAGUCACAGCUCGUGAAGACAAUCCAUAAUUUCUUCACCUCCUGGUAGGUGUAAAUAAUCAGAAGCCAACAGUAUGAACAUGAAAAAGAAGAACAAGUGAAAUGAAAGUAAAUUUGAAAGAGCUCCCUUUGAAUUUUUACCUUUUGAAUCAAAGACCUUAAUUGAUCGAUCGAAGCAACACACACACAAAGUAAAAAUUAGACCUAUUUAUGUAUGCCACAAGGAACUAUGUGCAUGUGUUAUGCGUGCAACGUAGUUCCUUUCAGCAUGAAUGCGUUAUAUUGAUAUAUCCUCCAUCUUCAGGUAAAUAGAUUCAAAUUUUCAAGCCAAAUGCGACGCAGGUUUAGCCUAUGUUGAUUAAAAUCCAGAGUGCAGUAAGGUGUAAGUAAUGCGGUAUUAGCAUUUUGUAUGGACGCGAAGGAGGCUUAGCUAAGCAAUGUUGUCUUGUGGUGAUGGAAUAUUUAUCAAAUCGCAGCAGGGAAUUUAUUGCGAGUAAAAUCGCAAAAUCCAAGAGCAUAUAAAGGAUUUUUAUUUUUUCUUUCCUUACACAUUCGAUUGAGAAUUCAAUUCAGAGUCCUUAUCUCAUAUAUUCUUGGUGGAUUCCUUUGGAAUUGUUUAAGUUAUUAAGAUGCGUUAUAGACAGGGCCGUAUUUAGGGGGUGGCCAAUUGGGCCACGGCCCAUGGCGGCAAAUUUUGCAAUUUUUUGCAUAUUUAGUUAUCAAAAAAAAUCGAAUUCAGAAAAAAUAUCACAAAAGAGAAAAGGUGACAAAAUCUCUCAUUUCCAAAGAGUUAAAGUAUGGUGAUUUCUAAUUUGUUCUUCUUUCGGUGAUACAAAAGACAGCACCUUUCACUAGUCUAGGUAAGAGAGAAAUCAAACACGCAAUUUGGCCUGGAGCGCGGCGCGGCGCAGAGAGCAAUGAUAACGAGGACUUGAGAUGAAAAGGAGAAGCCCUCGGCGCGCCGGUCAGCAUGAUACACAUAUUAGCGCCUGCAAGACUCCGUGAAUACUUCACGCAUUGCGUCAAAAACAGUGCGGUCAGCAGCGGUCGGCAUGAAACGCAUAGCGCCUACAAAACUGCAUGAAUACUUCACGCAUUGUGCCAAACACAGUGCGGUCGGCGGAAAUUAAAAUUAUUAAACCACAUUCAUGUUUAUUCUCUCAUAAUUUUUUCGUUCAUUUGCUAUAAAUGAAUGGCCUUCUCCACAAAGAGAUAGGUUUACGGAACUUAAAUUUCGCACGAAGUUCCCUGAACUUUUGUUAGUAGUGUUGACAGGGCUUUCCCGAAAAAUUUGUCCAACAUGAGUAAACGCGUCUUAUGCACCCCUCCCCGACCGGCACGUUCACUGGAUGGUUUGUUUUGAUGUUUCAAAACGACUGAGAAGAAGGCGGCAAAAUACAGGCGGCCCAUGGGCAGCAAGUAGGUAAAACCGGCCCUGGUUAUAGACAUUAAAUAACAUGUAAUAUGAAAGCAGAGGUACCUACAUUUCAAACGACAAAAAAAACAGGUGGUUACUGGUUAGUCUGUAAUUUCUAAGAAUUUAGGGAAGGAAAGCAAUAAUACAAGCGAAAGAAAAUUAAUAGAUGAAAAAAGGCUCAUAGGUUUAUAGCUUCACAAAUCCUGGCGACCCGGACAAAUUGUAGCAUUUUUAACCACUCGUUGAGGUGAUUUAUGCACGGUAAGUUCGUCAUGGGGCUUGUUAUUUUUAAGAAAAAAAAAUUCAAGUCGAGGUAAGUGCACUGUAUUAAUUUCAUCACACGCGAUCCACUACCCUAUCUGCAUAAUAUUUCAAUCAGUGUUUUUACAGCCGUUUGCUCUUAGUCAAAAAGUGAAUAUAAUUUAUCAAAAUUUUUGUCCGCAAUGCGAAACUCCUAUCUUAUUGACGCCUUCUUUCAAAAUUUUGUAGAGGCCACACUGAAUAAGUUUUCGCACUUCCGAGGGGCGAUAAAGCAUCUGCUUUGUGUAUGUAUAAACAUGUCUGCAACGUCACAUACCGAGAACAAUUCUCCAUAUCUUUCUGAAGAGAUCGACAGAUAGGUAGUAAAUGACACUUUUUUCUUAAAUAUACCGAACAGUGUGGCCUGAAAUUUUGUUUUUUCAACUUAAAAUAUGACUCUUAGUGUCAUGAAAUAACAAAAUUUCACGUCAACCUGUUCGGUGCUUUUAGAAAAAGUCUCAUGUGUCACUCACGAAUCUCUUUAGGAAAAACUAGAGAAUUGAUUUCAGAAAUCUCCGACGCAUAAAUUUUCCCUUGUUUUCGAGAUUUUUCGAUGAAAAAUGAACGCCGUGUUAUUUUCCAUAAGGGCCCCAAAACGUGGUCACCAGAUGGAUCAGCCAAUCAGAGACGACUCGUAAAAGUAGAGGGUGCCACUCGGGCCGCAAUUCAAAUUACGGCUCUUGUUUUCUCUUUGCCUGAAUGGCAACACGGUAAAAGGAAAAGCUCAAAAGUCGUGAAAAAGGGAUCCCCAGAGAAACGGCGGCGCGCGGUUUAGAGUCAAGUGUCGUCGUCGAAAGCUCAAAGCUCGAAGCUCGGUCCAG
This 5006-nucleotide long non-coding RNA is filed under the name Bemisia tabaci. RNAcentral describes it as "lncRNA ENSSSA1UGG006735". Lineage: Eukaryota; Metazoa; Arthropoda; Insecta; Hemiptera; Aleyrodidae. The record is from RNAcentral.